RNAcentral lists this ribosomal RNA (732 nucleotides) under fungal sp. Its description in RNAcentral is "eukaryotic LSU rRNA". The stretch from base 518 to 732 matches the Rfam family "Eukaryotic large subunit ribosomal RNA", at positions 1 to 215 of the family's 3401-position model. The record is from RNAcentral. Lineage: Eukaryota; Fungi.
GUAGGUGACCUGCGGAAGGAUCAUUACUGAGUGAGGGCCCUCUGGGUCCAACCUCCCACCCGUGUUUAUUAUACCUUGUUGCUUCGGUGCGCCCGCCUCACGGCCGCCGGGGGGCUUCUGCCCCCGGGUCCGCGCGCACCGGAGACACUAUUGAACUCUGUCUGAAGAUUGCAGUCUGAGCAUAAACUAAAUAAGUUAAAACUUUCAACAACGGAUCUCUUGGUUCCGGCAUCGAUGAAGAACGCAGCGAAAUGCGAUAACUAAUGUGAAUUGCAGAAUUCAGUGAAUCAUCGAGUCUUUGAACGCACAUUGCGCCCCCUGGUAUUCCGGGGGGCAUGCCUGUCCGAGCGUCAUUGCUGCCCUCAAGCACGGCUUGUGUGUUGGGCUCCGUCCCCCCGGGGACGGGUCCGAAAGGCAGCGGCGGCACCGAGUCCGGUCCUCGAGCGUAUGGGGCUUUGUCACCCGCUCUGUAGGCCCGGCCGGCGCCAGCCGACAACCAAUCAUCCUUUUUUCAGGUUGACCUCGGAUCAGGUAGGGAUACCCGCUGAACUUAAGCAUAUCAAUAAGCGGAGGAAAAGAAACCAACAGGGAUUACCUCAGUAACGGCGAGUGAAGCGGUAAGAGCUCAAAUUUGAAAGCUGGCUCCUUCGGGGUCCGCAUUGUAAUUUGCAGAGGAUGUUUCGGGAGCAGCCCCCAUCUAAGUGUCCUGGAACGGACCGUCAUAGAGGGUGA